This 84-nucleotide transfer RNA is filed under the name Caudoviricetes sp. Its description in RNAcentral is "tRNA-Leu". It matches the Rfam family "tRNA". Rfam says of the family: Transfer RNA (tRNA) molecules are approximately 80 nucleotides in length. Their secondary structure includes four short double-helical elements and three loops (D, anti-codon, and T loops). The record is from RNAcentral. Lineage: Duplodnaviria; Heunggongvirae; Uroviricota; Caudoviricetes.
GCCCCGCUGGUGGAACUGGCAGACGCACCGCACUCAAAAUGCGGCGCCGGCAACGGCAUCCGGGUUCGAGUCCCGGGCGGGGCA